GAUGAACGCUGACAGAAUGCUUAACACAUGCAAGUCUUUGGCGAAUCUGUGCUUGCACAGGCUAGCCAAGGCGGACGGGUGAGUAACGCGUAAAGAACUUGCCCUGCAGACAGGGAUAACAGACGGAAACGACUGAUAACACCUGAUACAGUUGCCGGCACGCAUGUGCCUGGCAAUGAAAAGAGAUGCUGCAGGGGAGCUUUGCGUCCUAUUAGCUUGUUGGUGAGGUGACGGCUCACCAAGGCGAUGAUAGGUAGCCGGCCUGAGAGGGUGAACGGCCACAAGGGGACUGAGAUACGGCCCUUACUCCUACGGGAGGCGGCAGUGGGGAAUAUUGGACAAUGGGGGCAACCCUGAUCCAGCAAUUCUGUGUGCACGAAGAAGGUUUUCGGAUUGUAAAGUGCUUUCAGCAGGGAAGAAGAAAGUGACGGUACCUGCAGAAGAAGCGACGGCUAAAUACGUG
RNAcentral lists this ribosomal RNA (463 nucleotides) under uncultured bacterium. RNAcentral describes it as "partial 16S ribosomal RNA". It matches the Rfam family "Bacterial small subunit ribosomal RNA", at positions 28 to 507 of the family's 1533-position model. The record is from RNAcentral.